Non-coding RNA from Pelobates cultripes (western spadefoot toad), 265 nucleotides. NCBI's taxonomy places the organism in Eukaryota, Metazoa, Chordata, Amphibia, Anura, Pelobatidae. The record is from the annotation of a GenBank genome assembly.
GUCACAGUGUGGAAGUGGAUUAGCAGGGUCUGGUGCAGGGUAAUCACACGCCCCCUGGUGUUGAGCACCAGCGUUUAUGCGGCCAAAUACCAGGACCCUGAUGCAGCGAAUCCCAGGAACUAGGAGCUUGGAAAUAAGCAGACCUCCCAGGAGCUGAAUAGUGAGGCUCUGCAGCAGGAGUGUAUCCAGUACAGAAACAAGGCAAGAAUAGGAUAGGCACCAAACAUGAAAACACUAGUAGAACCCAGAACCAGAGAAAGAUAGG